GUGCCCACUUAAGCAGCACAUAUACUAAAAUUGUAGUGAUAUAUUAGCAUGACCCCUGCAUAAGGAUGACCCUCAAAUUUGCAAAGUGUUCUAUUUU
Monodelphis domestica (gray short-tailed opossum) is the source of this 97-nucleotide small nuclear RNA. NCBI's taxonomy places the organism in Eukaryota, Metazoa, Chordata, Mammalia, Didelphimorphia, Didelphidae. The record is from Ensembl.